Molecule: long non-coding RNA, 324 nt
Organism: Sinocyclocheilus rhinocerous
Lineage: Eukaryota; Metazoa; Chordata; Actinopteri; Cypriniformes; Cyprinidae
Exons: 3
Source: RefSeq, a predicted model, not a curated record
UCAUUGAGCCACUGAUUUAUGCUGAACGAGAGCUCUGUGUCGUAAUUCCGUUGAUAACAUCAUAUUUUCCCUCUCGUGGAACGAAAAUAGCGAUCAUAAUUUACAUUUUUACCCAGUUACUCCUUUAGUUACACCCGUUUCAACGAACUCUCUCGCUGUUCUCAAAUGCAACCGAUGGAUGGCGCUGUUUGGGCAUUACUGAAUGAACAUCAAGCGCAAUGGUGUCUGUGUCCUCGUCGACAUGGCAAAGGUUUCAAAUAUUUCACCAAUGGGUCCUAGAAAACGGAGACAAGAGGACCGAUGGAUGGCUUUUGGUUUAUUCUC